ACGUAGGGCGCAAGCGUUGUCCGGAUUUAUUGGGCGUAAAGAGCUCGUAGGCGGUUUGUCGCGUCUGCUGUGAAAGCCCGGGGCUUAACCCCGUGGUGUGCAGUGGGUACGGGCAGACUAGAGUGCAGUAGGGGAGACUGGAAUUCCUGGUGUAGCGGUGAAAUGCGCAGAUAUCAGGAGGAACACCGAUGGCGAAGGCAGGUCUCUGGGCUGUUACUGACGCUGAGGAGCGAAAGCAUGGGGAGCGAACAG
This 252-nucleotide ribosomal RNA is filed under the name uncultured prokaryote. RNAcentral describes it as "partial 16S rRNA". It matches the Rfam family "Bacterial small subunit ribosomal RNA", at positions 525 to 775 of the family's 1533-position model. The record is from RNAcentral.